Non-coding RNA from Prunus avium (sweet cherry), 1002 nucleotides. NCBI's taxonomy places the organism in Eukaryota, Viridiplantae, Streptophyta, Magnoliopsida, Rosales, Rosaceae. The record is from RefSeq and is a predicted model, not a curated record.
CCCCUUUUGUCCACGUGUCUUGGCGCGCCUUUUCCAAUCCCGCCUUUCUUCAUUCCAAUCGCGCCUUUCUUCUUCUUAAUUCAUUUUUUUCAGACUCUCUCUUUUUACUCCCAAACAGAUUCUCCUCUUAAUACCAUCCCAUAUUUUCUUUAGUUAGAAUCGAUAUCUUUCUCUUGAACUCUCGAACUCUCUAUUAUGCCCUAUCUGUUUCCCUCCUCUCCAACUCCAUCUCUGUCUUGGUAUCUCUUUCAUUUUUAUACAGUCCUUAUACAAAUAAAACCUCAUUUCUCUCUUACUUCCCUUUCUUCUUCUCUCUCUACCCAACAAAUUUUCUAGGUCUGAAACGGGUGGAUGAUGGGUUUAUAGUUUAAGGUACAGAUCUGUUGAAAUUUAUUUAUUAAUCCAUUUUUGGGACUUUUUAUGGGAUCCUUACAAAUCAAUGGUGUUCAUGGUGGAUUUGGGUUAAUUUGGGGCUCUAAGCGUCCAGAUCUAUACAGGGAAGUGGAAAUAGUCUUUUCUACUUUAAUCACUUUGUAUUAUGUUAAAAAAAAUUCCAGUUUUUUUUCUCCUUUGUUGCUUGAUUUGUGCAUUUUGACAUUACUUUGCAGGCUUGGUGUUUGCUUCUAAAUGACAAAGUUAUAUUUAGGAUGCAAUGGCCAUAAUAUGCAGAUCUUUAGGUCAAUGAAAAUCAAUUUAUGCAUGAUAUUUAACAUAUGAACCCGCGACUAGCUAAUUGCCUGGGGAACGUGUUGGUGGAUCAGCUGUGAGAUAAGCAUGGUUCCGUCCAAUGUGACCAACAUACCCGAUAUGAGAAAUGGACAAAAUGCAGCAAUAGAGAACAUAGAAACUCCGGUUUUGUUGAUUUCUGUUUGUGCAAAGCGAGUAUUGACUUCUUUGCUCCUAAGAAGUAGGAAAGUAGACAAGAAGGAAGAAGAACACAACAUCACUGGAAAUAGCAAUAAAAGCUUCAAAAGGAUUCACUAGAGCUUCAACAUUGCAUGA